GUCCCAGCUGUAAACGAUGCAGACUCGGUGAUGCAUUGGCUUAUGGCCAGUGCAGUGCCGCAGGGAAGCCGUUAAGUUUGCCGCCUGGGAAGUACGUACGCAAGUAUGAAACUUAAAGGAAUUGGCGGGGGAGCACCACAAGGGGUGAAGCCUGCGGUUCAAUUGGAGUCAACGCCAGAAAUCUUACCCGAGGAGACAGCAGAAUGAAGGUCAAGCUGAAGACUUUACCAGACAAGCUGAGAGGUGGUGCAUGGCCGUCGC
RNAcentral lists this ribosomal RNA (261 nucleotides) under uncultured bacterium. RNAcentral's name for it is "partial 16S ribosomal RNA". It matches the Rfam family "Archaeal small subunit ribosomal RNA", at positions 744 to 1004 of the family's 1478-position model. The record is from RNAcentral.